GUGGGGAAUAUUGGACAAUGGGCGAAAGCCUGAUCCAGCCAUGCCGCGUGUGUGAAGAAGGUCUUCGGAUUGUAAUGCACUUUAAGUUGGGAGGAAGGGCAGUAAGCUAAUACCUUGCUGUUUUGACGUUACCAACAGAAUAAGCACCGGCUAACUUCGUGCCAGCAGCCGCGGUAAUACGAAGGGUGCAAGCGUUAAUCGGAAUUACUGGGCGUAAAGCGCGCGUAGGUGGUUCAGCAAGUUGGAGGUGAAAUCCCCGGGCUCAACCUGGGAACUGCCUCCAAAACUACUGAGCUAGAGUACGGUAGAGGGUAGUGGAAUUUCCUGUGUAGCGGUGAAAUGCGUAGAUAUAGGAAGGAACACCAGUGGCGAAGGCGACUACCUGGACUGAUACUGACACUGAGGUGCGAAAGCGUGGGGAGCAAACAGGAUUAGAAACCCGUGUAGUCC
Molecule: ribosomal RNA, 450 nt
Filed under: uncultured bacterium
Lineage: Bacteria
Description: partial 16S ribosomal RNA
Rfam family: Bacterial small subunit ribosomal RNA
Source: RNAcentral